Molecule: non-coding RNA, 335 nt
Organism: Pimephales promelas (fathead minnow)
Lineage: Eukaryota; Metazoa; Chordata; Actinopteri; Cypriniformes; Leuciscidae
Source: RefSeq, a predicted model, not a curated record
UUUCUCCAACACCUUUUACAUUUCAAGAAUAUGCAAAGGGAAUCAUCUCCCUAUUCCCAUACUUGGCAGAAUGGGUCACCCAGGAGCAAGCUUGGUUAUGAGCAUUAUUACAAUCCAGAAGAUGGAAGUGGAUAUCUGGCAUGGAGAAUAAAAACCCUGCAGAAAGAAGCAUCAGAGGGACGGAUGAAACGGCAACCACAAACAGGUGGGCCAACUACUGACAGGGAUCCCUUCAAAGCCGCGAGGCCUCAAACAGACUAGUGAGCUCCAAGACGUUAUCCAAAAUGCUGAAGGUGGUGACCAUAGACCUCCAUUAUAUGACUGACAGACAAGAA